GAUGAACGCUGGCGGCGUGGAUAAGGCAUGCAAGUCAAACGAUCCUUGUGUUUACAUAAGGGUAGUGGCAAACGGGGUAGUAACAGGUAGGAACAUACCCAUGAGUCAUGAAUAACUAUAGGAAACUAUAGCUAAUACAUGAUAUCCCUACGGGGGAAAGAUUUAUCGCUCAUGGAAUGGCCUGCUUCGUAUCAGCUAGUUGGUAGUGUAAUGGACUACCAAGGCUAUGACGCGUAGGGGAGCUGAGAGGCUGACCCCCACCAUUGGAACUGCGACACGGUCCAA
RNAcentral lists this ribosomal RNA (285 nucleotides) under uncultured bacterium. Its description in RNAcentral is "partial 16S ribosomal RNA". It matches the Rfam family "Bacterial small subunit ribosomal RNA", at positions 28 to 334 of the family's 1533-position model. The record is from RNAcentral.